UUGCUGUGAAUAAUUUUCUGACUUUUUGAAUGCGUGCUGCACUUUGGAUUACAUGAAUACACUUGACUGAAUUGUAUUUGCAUGUGGCUGUCAUGGUUACCAGUGAUUAAAUGGGAUACUAAAUGCUUUUGGUUUUUCAGUAUAACUCAAUAAAUGCGCAUUCUGAUUACAGACUGCUAGAUUUGGUUGUUCAGCCUGUCCCCCGGCCUUCUCAGUGUUCGGAGUUUAUUCAGCAAAGCUCCAUGAAAUCUCCUUUGUACCUAGUAUCCCGUUCACUGCCCUCAAGUUCACAAUUAAAAGGAUCGCCUCAGGCCAUCUCCAGGGCUUCAGAAUUACAUUUGCUUGAAACUCCUCUUGUAGUUAAGAAAGCUAAAAGUUUGGCCAUGUCAGUUACUACUUCUGGAUUUUCUGAGUUCACUCCUCAGUCCAUCCUGAGGUCUACUCUUCGAUCAACACCUUUAGCAUCUCCCUCUCCAUCACCUGGAAGGUCUCCUCAACGACUCAAAGAAACUAGAAUUUCAUUUGUGGAAGAAGAUGUCGACCCAAAAUGGAUUCCUGGGG
RNAcentral lists this small RNA (561 nucleotides) under Pongo abelii (Sumatran orangutan). RNAcentral's name for it is "retained intron". The record is from RNAcentral. Lineage: Eukaryota; Metazoa; Chordata; Mammalia; Primates; Hominidae.